AUGGCCACAUUCAAGGAGGCAGUGACGUUCAAGGACGUGGCUGUGGUCUUCACGGAGGAGGAGCUGGGGCUGCUGGACUCUGCCCAGAGGGAGCUGUACCGAGAUGUGAUGCUGGAGAACUUCAGGAACCUGCUGUCAGUGGGGCAUCAACCAUUUCACCGAGAUGCGUUUCACUUUCUAAGAGAAGAAAAGUUUUGGAUGAUGAGGACAUCAACCCGUAGAGAAGGGAAUUCAGGAGGCAAGAUCCAAACUGAGAUGGAGACUAUUCUAGAAGCAGGACCACAUGAAGAGUUGUCCUGCCAGCAAAUAUGGGAACAAAUUGCAGGUGACUUAACCAGGUCUCAAGAUUCCAUGAUAAACAACUCUCAGUUCUCCAAACAAGGUGAUUUCCCUUGCGAGGGUGAGACAGGACUGUCUGUAAUUGACAUCAAACAGAAACCUUUUCAGUGUAGUGAGUGUAAACAGUCUUUCAGUGAUGUCUCCAUCUUUGAGCUUCAUGAACAAUUACACUCAAGAGAGAAGUCCCACACAUGUGAUGAGUGUGGAAAGAGUUUCCGUUACAGAUCAGCUCUUCGUAUUCAUCAGAGAGUCCACACGGGAGAGAAACGCUAUAAGUGUGAUGUGUGUGGUAAGGGAUUCAGUUGGACCUCACAACUGAAAACUCAUCAGACAGUCCACACUGGAGAGAAACCAUUCAAAUGUGAGCAAUGUGGAAAAGCCUUCAGUCGUAGAUCAUCACUUACUCUUCACUGCAAAUUACACACUGGAGAGAAACCUUAUAACUGUAAGGAAUGUGGAAGGGCCUUUGUUUACAGUUCACAGCUUCGGGAACAUCAAAGAAUCCAUACUGGGGAAAGACCAUUCAAAUGUGAUAUAUGUGGUAAGAGCUUUCAUGAGAGAUCAGCACUUACUAGUCAUUGCAUGGUCCACACUGGAGAGAAACCAUACAAAUGUGAGCAGUGUGGAAAAGGCUUCAUUUGUAGACAGAAUCUUUUUAAACAUCAUAUGAUCCACACAGGAGAGAAACCAUAUAGUUGUGAAGAAUGUGGGAAGAGCUUCAGAUGGUCCUCAUGUCUUUUGAUCCAUGAACGAAUCCACAGUGGAGAAAAACCAUUCAAAUAAAAGCUAUACAAAUGUGAGGAGUGUGGGAAGGGCUAUUACAGUAAGUUUAAUCUUGACGUGCACCAGAGGGUCCACACGAGGGAGAGACCCUAUAAAUGUAAGCAGUGCGGUGAGAGCUUUUGCUGGGCAUCAAGUAUUCUGAGACAUAAGAGACUCCACUGUAGAGGAAAACCAUUCAAAUGUGAGGAUUGUGGGAAGAGCUUUGUACACAGUUUCUGCCCUAAAGACCAAGAAACAGACCGCAGUGUAGGAAAACUAUACAAAUGUAUGGACUGUAGGAAGCGCUACCAGAGGCGUUUGAAUCUCGAUAUGCUUUUGUCAUUAUUUUUAAGUGAUAUAUAA
Propithecus coquereli (Coquerel's sifaka) is the source of this 1464-nucleotide RNA transcript. It is a transcript of the gene named zinc finger protein 155-like, with no coding region annotated. The record is from RefSeq and is a predicted model, not a curated record. The transcript has 6 exons. Lineage: Eukaryota; Metazoa; Chordata; Mammalia; Primates; Indriidae.